AUCCACCCGCCUUGGCCUCCCAAAGUGCUGGGAUUACAGGCAUGAGCCACCACACCCAGCCUUGGUGGCCUCAUUUUUAGCAGCCUCUGCAAAGCACACAGCCUGAAUCCGUCACCUAGAGUCCCCAGCAUGCAGGAGAGGCGCUCUCAACCCGGGCUGGAGCCAUGAGCCACUCCCUGAGGGCACACAGGGCCUGAGUCUGGCUCCUGUGUGUUGCUGUGUGACAGGUCCUUCCAAAGUGCCUACGGAAAGCUUUGUCCCAUCCUUGAAAAAUUGCUAAUGGGUUUGGAGAUACGAGGUGGAGAUGACUAGCAAUCAAACUCAAAGGUGGAAGUCACAUCGAGGCAGAUGAGCAGAUGAGGGGACCUAGAGAAGAAGAGAGGUGCAAGGAGAGCCCAGCCAGCAGGAACAUCUGCCCCAGUAGGCAGCACUGCCCCACAUCAGAGUCGAGGAAAGCAAAGCUCGGAUUGGAUAAAAGAAACUUGCAAACACGGUCAGUGCUUACUGCAUGUGGGCUCAGAGCACGUUACCCUCCUUCCCUGCAUGUUCCUGUGAAACGGGUUUACUGCUCUAACUCUCAGGGACACUGUGAAGACCAAACGAGAAAAUAGAAACAAACAUAAUUUAUAAACCAUAAAGUACUGACACCAAAAGAGGGGCGAGCACAGCAUUGUGAAUGUGCUGGUACUAAAUGGUUUGUUUUAAGAUGAUUUUAUGGUGUGUGAAUUUCACUUGAAUAAAUUUUUUUAAUGGAGUUCA
Molecule: long non-coding RNA, 759 nt
Filed under: Homo sapiens (human)
Lineage: Eukaryota; Metazoa; Chordata; Mammalia; Primates; Hominidae
Description: HSALNT0350546
Source: RNAcentral